AUUCCAUAAUGCGGGCAAUCUGAUAUGUAUCCUUGAAAGCGUUCCCAUGCUUCUGGAAUAGAUUCACCUCUCUGCUGCUGAAAUUCUAAAAUCUUCCCUCGUAAGAUA
This is a small nucleolar RNA of Sorghum bicolor (sorghum), 108 nucleotides long. It matches the Rfam family "Plant small nucleolar RNA R71". Rfam says of the family: R71 is a member of the C/D box family of snoRNAs containing the C (UGAUGA) and D (CUGA) box motifs. Multiple nearly identical copies of this snoRNA have been identified in Arabidopsis, and it is thought to function as a 2'-O-ribose methylation guide for 18S ribosomal RNA. NCBI's taxonomy places the organism in Eukaryota, Viridiplantae, Streptophyta, Magnoliopsida, Poales, Poaceae. The record is from Rfam.